GACGAACGCUGGCGGCGUGCCUAAUACAUGCAAGUAGAACGCUGAAGAGAGGAGCUUGCUCUUCUUGGAUGAGUUGCGAACGGGUGAGUAACGCGUAGGUAACCUGCCUGGUAGCGGGGGAUAACUAUUGGAAACGAUAGCUAAUACCGCAUAAAAUUGAUUAUUGCAUGAUAAUUAAUUGAAAGAUGCAACUGCAUCACUACCAGAUGGACCUGCGUUGUAUUAGCUAGUUGGUGAGGUAACGGCUCACCAAGGCGACGAUACAUAGCCGACCUGAGAGGGUGAUCGGCCACACUGGGACUGAGACACGGCCCAGACUCCUACGGGAGGCAGCAGGAGGGAAUCUUCGGCAAUGGGGGGAACCCUGACCGAGCAACGCCGCGUGAGUGAAGAAGGUUUUCGGAUCGUAAAGCUCUGUUGUAAGAGAAGAACGGGUGUGAGAGUGGAAAGUUCACACUGUGACGGUAUCUUACCAGAAAGGGACGGCUAACUACGUG
RNAcentral lists this ribosomal RNA (497 nucleotides) under uncultured bacterium. RNAcentral's name for it is "partial 16S ribosomal RNA". It matches the Rfam family "Bacterial small subunit ribosomal RNA", at positions 28 to 507 of the family's 1533-position model. The record is from RNAcentral.